RNAcentral lists this ribosomal RNA (500 nucleotides) under uncultured bacterium. Its description in RNAcentral is "partial 16S ribosomal RNA". It matches the Rfam family "Bacterial small subunit ribosomal RNA", at positions 30 to 523 of the family's 1533-position model. The record is from RNAcentral.
AUUGAACGCUGGCGGCAUGCCUUACACAUGCAAGUCGAACGGCAGCACGGAGCUUGCUCUGGUGGCGAGUGGCGAACGGGUGAGUAAUAUAUCGGAACGUACCCAAGAGUGGGGGAUAACGUAGCGAAAGUUACGCUAAUACCGCAUACGAUCUAAGGAUGAAAGCAGGGGACCUUCGGGCCUUGUGCUCCUGGAGCGGCCGAUAUCUGAUUAGCUAGUUGGUGAGGUAAAGGCCCACCAAGGCAUCGAUCAGUAGCUGGUCUGAGAGGACGACCAGCCACACUGGAACUGAGACACGGUCCAGACUCCUACGGGAGGCAGCAGUGGGGAAUUUUGGACAAUGGGGGCAACCCUGAUCCAGCAAUGCCGCGUGAGUGAAGAAGGCCUUCGGGUUGUAAAGCUCUUUUGUCAGGGAAGAAACGGUGAAGGCUAAUAUCCUUUGCUAAUGACGGUACCUGAAGAAUAAGCACCGGCUAACUACGUGCCAGCCGCCGCAGUAA